GGGGUGCACAAUAGCUUACCUCCACGUGGUGCACCCUGGGCAAUGUAUACUUAUACAGCAAAAAGGUCUAU
This 71-nucleotide ribozyme is filed under the name Rodentolepis nana. RNAcentral's name for it is "Hymenolepis nana HDV ribozyme from F. prausnitzii". It matches the Rfam family "HDV ribozyme from F. prausnitzii". Lineage: Eukaryota; Metazoa; Platyhelminthes; Cestoda; Cyclophyllidea; Hymenolepididae. The record is from Rfam by way of RNAcentral.